AACGAACGCUGGCGGCGUGCUUAACACAUGCAAGUCGAACGCGAAAGGGGCUUCGGUCCUGAGUAAAGUGGCGCACGGGUGAGUAACGCGUGGAUAAUCUACCUGACAUUUUGGGAUAACAUUUCGAAAGGGGUGCUAAUACCGGAUAAGACCACGAGGCCUUAGGGCCAUGGGGUAAAAGGUGGGGACCUUCGGGCCUGCCGAUGUCAGAUGAGUCCGCGUACCAUUAGCUAGUUGGUGGGGUAAAGGCCUACCAAGGCGACGAUGGUUAGCUGGUCUGAGAGGAUGAUCAGCCACACUGGAACUGAGACACGGUCCAGACUCCUACGGGAGGCAGCAGUGGGGAAUUUUGCGCAAUGGGGGAAACCCUGACGCAGCAACGCCGCGUGAGUGAUGAAGGCCUUCGGUCGUAAAGCUCUGUCAGAGGGAAGAAGUGCAGUGGCGCUAAAAUCGUCAUUGCUUGACGGUACCUUCAAAGGAAGCACCGGCUAACUCCGUGCCAGCAGCCG
Molecule: ribosomal RNA, 509 nt
Filed under: uncultured bacterium
Lineage: Bacteria
Description: bacterial SSU rRNA
Rfam family: Bacterial small subunit ribosomal RNA
Source: RNAcentral